Molecule: long non-coding RNA, 2066 nt
Organism: Corvus hawaiiensis (hawaiian crow)
Lineage: Eukaryota; Metazoa; Chordata; Aves; Passeriformes; Corvidae
Exons: 3
Source: RefSeq, a predicted model, not a curated record
UCAGGAAAAGAUCUUGUUUUCCUUGUACUGAAACUUUGUUUUGCCAAGCUGAACCUGAUGUCAGUUUGGGACUUGAGUGCUUCAUUCCAAGUCUUGCUGUAAACCAACCAGGAGUACCGCACAGGGACACUACAGAGAGUCUGUAGGGGUGGUACCUUACUGCGGGUCCUCCUUUAGGACUUGGUUAGGCUUUUGUCUCUCAUGUUCAGCAUUUCUACUUCAGUGAAUCUGAGGAAAACAUUUAAAUAUGUGGAAUUUCAAACCUCACGAAGCUCAAGCCUGUCUUCUUUUGUGAAGCCGUGGGGCAGUGUGUGGUCAAGGACGAGGUGAGCUGUGCUGUGAGGUGCGUGAGCUGCCUUACAUGGAGGAACUGUGUUUGUUGAACACGUUCAGUGAUAAAUAUGGAGUUGUUUUUACUUUGUACUUAUAAAAUAUCACCUCUAAUUGAACUUCCACUACCUUCUGGAACAUCUGGAUGAAGUGACUAGGAAAGGGGAAAGCUGUUAAAUAUGAAUAUGGAGCAGCAUCUGUUGGAGUGCUGGUGGGGAUUUUUCCUCCACCUGGCUAGUUUUCCAGAUGGUUCAGGUGGGCAGAAUUUCAGCAACUGUUUCUGUUGUUUGGUCAGUUUAAAAUGCUGAUUUCUGAAAUCAGAUCUAGUAAUGAAAUAGAUCCCCAAUUUGAUGAAGCAAUUGCUUCACCUGCUGGAAAGUUCUUAGCAGAGCUGUCAGAAUUUUUUUUAUUGUUUUGAAGACUAAUGGGCUCUGUUCUUGCCUGACUGGUGCUUCUCACAGCUGGCUUUGGAGAGAUCCUUUUUCUUGCAAGUAACUGUUCCCCAUUACAGAUCCUUCCUGUGGUCUCGAAUGGAUGUUUUCUAUCUUGCUCAGACAGUUCUAAUGCAAGUCAAGCCUUAGAACAGAAAUCCUCAUCUGUGCAGCAUUUGUCUGUAUAUGGCCACUGAGUGGAGUUACAAGUUACUUAAGGAUUGCUUGUAAGCCCUGGAAAGGCCGGGAGUCAGUCUGGGACAUCAGUCUGAAGUGGCCAUGUGGAAUAACAGAAACAAAUUCGCAGAUGGCUGUGGUUUAUGUUCUGAAUUUGGAUGUGGUACAAGUCAGAGCAUUGCUGAGGGCUGCUGGUGUGGCCCCACACACUGUGCUGGCAACACUCCCUGUGUGCUGGCUCUGUGUGCCCGGAGCAGGUGUGAUGCAGAGCACAUUCAGUCUGCUCAAGAGUGUACUUUAAAGCUUUAGGGGGAUCCUUUUCAAAAAGUGAGCUUCCUGGGUUAAUGGGUAAAAGGUUUGCUUAAUUUGCCUUAAAUACAGAAAAAAAUUACGGACUAUAAGAAUUCUGGGUUUUGACUGUGUUGAUACUACUUUUGUUUUCCUCUGGUGCUUAUGAACCAGCCAAAGCAGGAAAGAGGUUUUUGGUUAAGAGUUUACUCAGGAAGUAUCCCUGGACCAGUUUUGCUUAAACUUGUUGCACAUAGUAAUGUGAUUUGGGAAUGACCUAUGCCCCUGCAGGUAUUCCCACAAACAGGCUGCAGCCCACAGAGGAACAAUGUCAGAGCACAGGGAAAGAGUGAGAAGGAAGGUGCAGCACAGAGAAGCUACUUUGUACCUGGAACACGAGCCCCCAGCAGCUUCUGGCUACCUCCUGCCUCCCUGAAGGGACUGACUGGCACUUGCUGUGCUAACAAGGGAGCAGAGCAGGGCCUGGAGUGACUUGACCCUUGGAAACUUGGAGGCAAGCAAAGCCACAGCCCCUCUCCAGUGUUUCUCACCUGAAAAGAGACUGCAAAUGAGUGAUGGGAGAGCUGGUGAGCACUGUCAGGAAGCUCCUGAGCUGCUCAGCACCUCGCAGAGUCGAGACUUUGGGGUUUAUGUCAGACUGGAGAGCUGCUCUCCCCUGCUCUUGGGAUGCUGCCUGAAUCAGGAGGGGAUGGAAUUCCUGCAUACAGGUCAAUGGAAGGGAUUCGCCCCUCCUCAGCAGUGUGGUGUCAGAUCUGACAUGUGCAGCCAGGAUCACCCAGGAGUGACCAGACGUGUGCCCCGUCCCAGCAGGCACGAGGA